Molecule: long non-coding RNA, 634 nt
Organism: Triticum dicoccoides
Lineage: Eukaryota; Viridiplantae; Streptophyta; Magnoliopsida; Poales; Poaceae
Exons: 2
Source: RefSeq, a predicted model, not a curated record
GAUCUAUCCCCAAUGGCCAUAGGAAGUAAAUCUCGUCCUAAUCCGUGGAUCAGGAAUCCUGCUUUAUGGGGAUUUUUUUUUUGCGGGGGGAUCCUGAUUUAUGGUUCCUGGCACUGUCACGUAGUAAAUGCAAGGUCGGUGCUGAUUGCGGUUGUCUUCCAUCUCUAGCCCGAGGGGUCGAGGGGGCGUUUCACCAUUCUGAGCUGCACCUUUCUCGGCGGCAGUGCUUCUUCUCGAAGAAUACUCAUACCACACGCGCAAAUGAAGUUCUUGCUGCAGCCGAUUAAGAGGACCUCCGUUGGAAGAUAUUAACGGCGACGAGAUUCCAGUGGAACAGCUUCGCUACCUGGUGGCAGCACCAGUCGCGGAUCUGCCGCCCCCCAUGGAGGAAGCGAGCGUGGACAGCCAGAUCUGUGCCCGCCGAGAUGGCGGUGGGGGAGAACAGGAGCCGCAAGCUUCCGAGCAGUCGAUCGAACAGCUUGACCCAAAAUCUCCGCGCAGGUAUGGUAACACUGUUAGACUGUAUAUGGAUACGUAGACUUGUGUAUACGUGUUGUACUUGUACUUCUACCUUUUGGUACUUAUAUAUAAUGAGAUAGCCGCACCCCCAAGGGUGUCGAGCAGUUGCCCCCAA